CAGCCUUCAGAACCGGGUUAACAUGACCUCAAUAACAGCCCAGUCCAUCAAUUCAGUUGUUAAAUAGGUAGGCCAGCCUUCAGAACUGGUUAACAUGACCUCAAUAACAGCCCAGUCCAUCAAUUCAGUUAUUAAAUAGGUAGGCCAGCCUUCAGAACCGGUUAACAUGACCUCAAUAACAGCCCAGUCCAUCAAUUCAGUUAUUAAAUAGGUAGGCCAGCCUUCAGAACCGGUUAACAUGACCUCAAUAACAGCCCAGUCCAUCAAUUCAGUUAUUAAAUAGGUAGGCCAGCCUUCAGAACCGGUUAACAUGACCUCAAUAACAGCCCAGUCCAUCAAUUCAGUUAUUAAAUAGGUAGGCCAGCCUUCAGAACUGGGUUAACAUGACCUCAAUAACAGCCCAGUCCAUCAAUUCAGUUAUUAAAUAGGUAGGCCAGCCUUCAGAACCGGUUAACAUGACCUCAAUAACAGCCCAGUCCAUCAAUUCAGUUAUUAAAUAGGUAGGCCAGCCUUCAGAACUGGGUUAACAUGACCUCAAUAACAGCCCAGUCCAUCAAUUCAGUUAUUAAAUAGGUAGGCCAGCCUUCAGAACCGGUUAACAUGACCUCAAUAACAGCCCAGUCCAUCAAUUCAGUUAUUAAAUAGGUAGG
This is a long non-coding RNA of Oncorhynchus keta (chum salmon), 650 nucleotides long. RefSeq lists it as uncharacterized. The record is from RefSeq and is a predicted model, not a curated record. The transcript has 3 exons. NCBI's taxonomy places the organism in Eukaryota, Metazoa, Chordata, Actinopteri, Salmoniformes, Salmonidae.